Molecule: ribosomal RNA, 468 nt
Filed under: uncultured bacterium
Lineage: Bacteria
Description: partial 16S ribosomal RNA
Rfam family: Bacterial small subunit ribosomal RNA
Source: RNAcentral
GACGAACGCUGGCGGCGUGCUUAACACAUGCAAGUCGAACGGAAAGGCCCUGCUUUUGUGGGGUGCUCGAGUGGCGAACGGGUGAGUAACACGUGAGUAACCUGCCCUUGACUUUGGGAUAACUUCAGGAAACUGGGGCUAAUACCGGAUAGGAGCUCCUGCUGCAUGGUGGGGGUUGGAAAGUUUCGGCGGUUGGGGAUGGACUCGCGGCUUAUCAGCUUGUUGGUGGGGUAGUGGCUUACCAAGGCUUUGACGGGUAGCCGGCCUGAGAGGGUGACCGGCCACAUUGGGAAUUGGAUUCGGGCCAGACUUCUUCGGGAGGGAAGAGGGGGGGAUUAUGGAAAAUGGGCGGGAGGCCGAAGGAGGAAAGCCGGGUGGGGGGUGACGGCCUUCGGGUUGUAAACCGCUUUCGCCUGUGACGAAGCGUGAGUGACGGUAAUGGGUAAAGAAGCACCGGCUAACUACGUG